Molecule: non-coding RNA, 96 nt
Organism: Mycena olivaceomarginata
Lineage: Eukaryota; Fungi; Basidiomycota; Agaricomycetes; Agaricales; Mycenaceae
Source: the annotation of a GenBank genome assembly
GCCCUCGUGGAUCAAGGUGAUUUCCCCUAUUCGGUUCACUGCGUCCAGGAAAUAUUUGAUCGCGGGGAGGCGGAGGUUCGAUUCCUCCCGAGGGCU